This is a long non-coding RNA of Dermochelys coriacea (leatherback sea turtle), 2401 nucleotides long. RefSeq lists it as uncharacterized. The transcript is spliced from 3 exons. NCBI's taxonomy places the organism in Eukaryota, Metazoa, Chordata, Testudines, Dermochelyidae. The record is from RefSeq and is a predicted model, not a curated record.
AGGAACAGGAGAAGCAGAAAGACGCGCGGGGGGAGGCCGUUCCCCGUUUAGCGCUGCACAAACCGCAUGGGGGAGAGAACCUGAGCAAACCUGGGAGCUGCAGCAGCUGGAGGUCGGGGUUUCCCAGGGAGCCUCGGAGAAGGAAGCAGAAAAGGCCAAAGGGGAAGCCGCACACCGCGCUGGGACGAGGGGCCGGGGAGCAAGCCGAGGGGUGGGCCGGUCGGAGGCCCUGCAGCGACAGGCCACGGCACUUCACCAGGCAACGGAGCCAGGGCAGCAGCUCCCACGCCUGUGGCAGCCAAGGAAGUUUCCAGGCGGUGGUUGUCUGUGGGAAUGCAAGUGACCCAGUUGGCAGAGGGGAGAAGGGCUUCCCCAGGGCUGGUAAGACACAGGAAGCAGCUGAGGGAGAGAUGCCAGGAAAAGGCACCUCUGACCAAAGAGAUCUCAGCCCUCUAGGGAGAGGAGCCAGCACUGGGUCCUUCCCUGCCCAUCCCCAAGAGGGGAGCUGGAAUAUUUGCAUGUGCAUCACCCUGCGGUUGAGAGACAACUCCGCAGAGGGUUGGCCAACAUGCAAAGUCCCCUGACCUUCUUCCCACACUACACCCUAGAGCACCGCAGCCCCACAGAGAGGACCGGCUGGAGGACCCACACUGAAGGGGAAAAACCCAGGAACGGAACACACACCGAGGUUCACGGAGGCGUUCAAAGGCAUGAUGGGUAUUGAGCAAACCACACCGUCUAAACAGAAGGCACGAUCUGACAAAGAUACUAGUGAAGACUGACCUGUGAUAAAGAGUUUAGUUAACACGGCUACACAGAUGUUCUCUAGCCACCCAGGGAAGACACUUACUAACUGGUGAGAUCACUGGAGAGGAGCCACAACAUGUUCACAGACUUUGCAAGGGCAUCUGUGGGUAACACCACAACGUUUAGCGACGCUUGGGAGCUGUAUGGUCAGACCCUAAAAGGGACCUUGGGCCCACUGCCGCUGCAUUAGUCAGUGAUUCACACUCCUGCAGAGGAUGGAGGUGUGACACUCUGUACCUUAAAACACACGCUGGGAACCCACUCCGUGUUCACCACUGUGAUGUGAGGAUGUCGGGGGUUGUACAAGGCCUGCCUUGUGAAGGAUGGUUUGAAAAGUCUUGAUCUGUGGCACAUUAACACCUGGUUGGGUGGUGUGAGCUGUCCCUGGGGGGCGGGAGUUAGGAAGUUUUUCUGUGUGUGUGUGUGUGUGUGUAUGACUGAAAUAUGUUGUGAGGUUGGGAACCCCCACAACCAGCCUUUCAGUACCAACAAAAGAGCCCGUCUCCGGCCAGACGGGUGUUGACGGCCCCUCAAAUAGGAAGUUGCUCUCGCAGGGACUCCCUGGAGAGGUCAUAGACCCAAUGGGGCUGCUCAGCCCCGAGUCCCAGCCAGGAUCUUUCUAGCAGCUGGAAGAAAGUGUAAAGGAGGGAUGGAGACAUCACCACUUGGCCUCUCUCCUUCCCCAUCGCAACCCCUGGAAGAUGGGCUGGAAGGCCCAGACUUUGAACUGGGGAGACUGGUCCCAGGUGGGAAGGGAAUCCAGCCGCUAUUGACAACUGAGAGCUGCCUGGACCAUCCUUUAGGGUGGGAGACGACUUGAGAGAAAUCUUCCUUAGUCUGUGGAAUUUAGACGUCGAGUUUGUUCUUGCGUAACCAAGUGUGAGCUCUGCGCCUGCGACUUCCCUCACUUAAAAACCUGCCUUCCUGGCGUGACUAAACCUGUUUGAUGUUUUACCUAGAACAGUGGUGUGGGCUUGAAAGGCUCAGGGGAAUCUCAGCUCCGGUGACAAAGGCUGGUGCGUGUCCCCUUUCCUCGGAGGAACUAAUUAACGAGCUUGCACUGGCCAAAGAGUCUGGAGCAGUGUCAGACGGUAUAUUUCUGGGGUGCAAGGCUGGGGGUUUGGCUGGUGCCUUUUUCUGUGAUCCAUGAGUGGAUCUGGGCACGUUCAUGCAAUCAGGCUGGGUGUGGGGCUCCACAGGCAGACAGCUGAGCGAUCGCAGCGCCCGGAGGGGUUUGCUGCAUGUCACUGGCAUGGCAUUGUGACAGCCCAGGCUGGAGAGUUAGCGGUACCCCAGUUCCAGGCUGCACCCUGGGGAUCCCAUCAUGGGGGGGGCGCUAUGGGUGCUGUUAUACGGGCAGGUUGGGGGCUAUGGGGUGCAGUGGAGCAGGCUGGGGGGACUAUAGGAGUCAGGCAUGAGGGUUAUGGGGUGCAGCAUUACAGUGUGGGGUAGCCUGUAUGGUCAUAUGGGUCAGGCUGGAGAUACAAGGAGGUUGAGAUAUAAUAUGGGGGUCACCCCCCCUCACCAAUGAAGAAGACGAUCUUGCUGUCGUUACUCCGCUCAUAGACGGCAUUGAUUGCCCCAAAAUCUGGGG